UUUCCCCCACGGGAUCCUCGCCUGAUACCCUCUCGCGAAGCAUCUGCAUAGCUACCCACGGCCUCCGCAGCCAUAUCUCGGACCCCGAUCUCGCCUUUGGUUUCCCAGGCCCCGCAUUCUCUGGCUAUGGUCGCCAGCAUGGAGUGGCCGGACGAUCGACCUCCGAUGGAUUCUGCCAAUACCAUCUCGGGAGGAUCCCGACAGGAAACGACCAACAUACCGGCUGUAUCCCCCAAGCGAC
This 241-nucleotide long non-coding RNA is filed under the name Elaeis guineensis (African oil palm). RNAcentral's name for it is "long non-coding RNA (EGUI_LNC066689)". Lineage: Eukaryota; Viridiplantae; Streptophyta; Magnoliopsida; Arecales; Arecaceae. The record is from RNAcentral.